UCAUGGCUCAGAUUGAACGCUGGCGGCGACUGCCUUACACAUGCAAGUCGAACGGCAGCACGGAGGCAAUCCUGUGGCGAGUGGCGAACGGGUGAGUAAUAUAUCGGAACGUGCCCAGUCGUGGGGGAUAACGUAGCGAAAGCUACGCUAAUACCGCAUACGAUCUAUGGAUGAAAGCGGGGGAUCGCAAGACCUCGCGCGAUUGGAGCGGCCGAUAUCAGAUUAGGUAGUUGGUGGGGUAAAAGCCUACCAAGCCUUCGAUCUGUAGCUGGUCUGAGAGGACGACCAGCCACACUGGAACUUAGACACGGUCCAGACUCCUACGGGAGGCAGCAGUGGGGAAUUUUGGACAAUGGGCGCAAGCCUGAUCCAGCAAUGCCGCGUGCAGGAUGAAGGCCUUCGGGUUGUAAACUGCUUUUGUACGGAACGAAACGGUUCUCUCUAAUACAGGGGGCUAAUGACGGUACCGUAAGAAUAAGCACCGGCUAACUACGUG
This 496-nucleotide ribosomal RNA is filed under the name uncultured bacterium. RNAcentral's name for it is "bacterial SSU rRNA". It matches the Rfam family "Bacterial small subunit ribosomal RNA", at positions 17 to 507 of the family's 1533-position model. The record is from RNAcentral.